RNAcentral lists this ribosomal RNA (916 nucleotides) under uncultured bacterium. Its description in RNAcentral is "bacterial SSU rRNA". It matches the Rfam family "Bacterial small subunit ribosomal RNA", at positions 8 to 916 of the family's 1533-position model. The record is from RNAcentral.
AGAGUUUGAUCCUGGCUCAGAUUGAACGCUGGCGGAAUGCUUUACACAUGCAAGUCGAACGGCAGCACGGGAGCUUGCUCCUGGUGGCGAGUGGCGAACGGGUGAGUAAUGCGUCGGAACGUACCGAGUAAUGGGGGAUAACGCACCGAAAGGUGUGCUAAUACCGCAUACGCCCUCCGGGGGAAAGCAGGGGAUCGUAAGACCUUGCGUUAUUCGAGCGGCCGACGUCUGAUUAGCUAGUUGGUGGGGUAAAGGCCUACCAAGGCGACGAUCAGUAGCGGGUCUGAGAGGAUGAUCCGCCACACUGGAACUGAGACACGGUCCAGACUCCUACGGGAGGCAGCAGUGGGGAAUUUUGGACAAUGGGGGCAACCCUGAUCCAGCCAUUCCGCGUGAGUGAAGAAGGCCUUCGGGUUGUAAAGCUCUUUCAGCUGGAACGAAACGGUACGCUCUAACAUAGCGUGCUAAUGACGGUACCAGCAGAAGAAGCACCGGCUAACUACGUGCCAGCAGCCGCGGUAAUACGUAGGGUGCGAGCGUUAAUCGGAAUUACUGGGCGUAAAGCGUGCGCAGGCGGAUUGUUAAGCAAGACGUGAAAUCCCCGGGCUUAACCUGGGAAUGGCGUUUUGAACUGGCAGUCUAGAGUGUGUCAGAGGGGGGUAGAAUUCCACGUGUAGCAGUGAAAUGCGUAGAGAUGUGGAGGAAUACCAAUGGCGAAGGCAGCCCCCUGGGAUAACACUGACGCUCAUGUACGAAAGCGUGGGUAGCAAACAGGAUUAGAUACCCUGGUAGUCCACGCCCUAAACGAUGUCAACUGGUUGUUGGGGGAGUGAAAUCCCUUAGUAACGAAGCUAACGCGUGAAGUUGACCGCCUGGGGAGUACGGUCGCAAGAUUAAAACUCAAAGGAAUUGACGG